GAGUCUGCACUUCUUGAAUUCUCAUAUUUUCUUUCAGAGACCCUAAAGAAAAUACCCAUCCUAAUAUUGCCCCUUAUAUUUUUUGGAGGGGGGAGAUCAGGUUAAUAUCAAUAUUCCAGUUCACAAUAGUAUUUUACCUGAUACUAAGUCUUUGUUUCUUUUCUUGCAUGUUGUCCUUGUUUUUUCUAUUUUUCUUAGCUUUACUAAGUAGGCAGUAUACAGCAGGGGCCAUUUUCUUGGAGUAAAAAAAUAGUAAGGAAAUCUACAGACUUAGAGAUGUUCAGGGUACAAUCUCUCACAGAUAGACUACAAAGAAAUGACCUUGUGAGGCUUGGUAUGAGCUAAUAAUGGUAUUCUGAUCAUCAGAAUCCCAUUCCCAUUGUUCUGCAUGUGGAGUGAAGAAAGGUCCUGCUGCACAUGGCUUUGAAUGCCUGUAUGGAGAGUGAUCACCAUGUGGGAUUCGGAGAGUGAGAUGAGCAAGAUGCAAUGGAGGACAGAUGGCAUGGGGUGUGGAAGCCAAAAAGCCAUGGCAGAACCAUUCUAACCCCUCCUCAUAAACAAUCUAUCCAGAAAGAAAGUUAUUAUAGGAAGAAAUGUGGACAACUGGUCAUAGAGUCACAGAGGACCACGGAAACAGUUACUCCUCUAUCAAUCCCUCAUGACUAUAAUAUGUGCUAUGCAAACACAGUUGAAGUCUUUAUGAGGAGCCUUUGAUGUGACAGAACUUCUGACAACUCAGACUUGUGCUGCGUUUCCUUGGUGUUGUCUCUGUGGGCGCUGAUUUGCCUUCUCGCUGCCUCUGAGUGAUGUUACUCACUUUUGUCAGGUGG
RNAcentral lists this long non-coding RNA (830 nucleotides) under Suricata suricatta (meerkat). Its description in RNAcentral is "lncRNA (ENSSSUG00005005394.1)". Lineage: Eukaryota; Metazoa; Chordata; Mammalia; Carnivora; Herpestidae. The record is from RNAcentral.